AACGCUAGCUACAGGCUUAACACAUGCAAGUCGAGGGGUAGCAGGGUAGCAAUACCGCUGACGACCGGCGCACGGGUGAGUAACACGUAUCCAACCUACCAUUCACACGGGGAUAGCCUUUCGAAAGAAAGAUUAAUACCCGAUAGUAUAACGAUAAGGCAUCUUAUUGUUAUUAAAGAAUUUCGGUGUUUGAUGGGGAUGCGUUCCAUUAGAUUGUUGGUGAGGUAACGGCUCACCAAGUCUUCGAUGGAUAGGGGUUCUGAGAGGAAGGUCCCCCACAUUGGAACUGAGACACGGUCCAAACUCCUACGGGAGGCAGCAGUGAGGAAUAUUGGUCAAUGGACGAGAGUCUGAACCAGCCAAGUAGCGUGAAGGAUGAAGGCCCUAUGGGUCGUAAACUUCUUUUAUAGGGGAAUAAAGUGCGGAACGUGUUCCGCUUUGUAUGUACCCUACGAAUAAGGAUCGGCUAACUCCGUGCCAGCAGCCGCGGUAAUACGGAGGAUCCGAGCGUUAUCCGGAUUUAUUGGGUUUAAAGGGAGCGUAGGUGGAUAUAUAAGUCAGUUGUGAAAGUUUGCGGCUCAACCGUAAAAUUGCAGUUGAUACUGUAUAUCUUGAGUGUACAAGAGGUGGGCGGAAUUCGUGGUGUAGCGGUGAAAUGCUUAGAUAUCACGAAGAACUCCGAUUG
Molecule: ribosomal RNA, 685 nt
Filed under: uncultured bacterium
Lineage: Bacteria
Description: bacterial SSU rRNA
Rfam family: Bacterial small subunit ribosomal RNA
Source: RNAcentral